This 823-nucleotide long non-coding RNA is filed under the name Felis catus (domestic cat). RNAcentral describes it as "lncRNA (ENSFCAG00000043456.2)". Lineage: Eukaryota; Metazoa; Chordata; Mammalia; Carnivora; Felidae. The record is from RNAcentral.
CUCAUGGAAAAAUAAUUAAUAGGGGGUGAAAUGUAAAAUGUCUAAAAGUUAGAAAAAAAAGAAUUUCUUUUCGUUUUUAAUUUGCUUUCUUUUGUCCUGUGAAAGUCAGGAGGGGCUUUCCAAUAGCUUUCUCCUCUUCUGACGCUCCUCCUUCUCACCACCAGAUGUCAGACUUUCACUGCAAAUUUCAAUUCCUCCCUGGCAUAGGCGACACCGUUAUCUUUUUAUUUGUGAAUGUUCACUAUUGCGAAAUCAUCUUUUUCAACUUCUGCACACGACUUCAAAACUUAUCUUUGAAUAUGAAUUUGCAGACGUUGAUUAUAGCUGUUUCAGGCAUACUUUUGCAGUUUCUAUACCUGAAGCUGCCACCGUCAGCCAAGGAUCCAGAAGCUGCAGUGGGGGGACAUCUUCAUCAUCUUCACUGCCGAUUGGGGUGACGCCACCUUGGAAGAAAGAGAAGUGGAGAGUUUUUUUCCGAAUAGGAGGCCAAUGGAGUUCCCCUGCCAAUGGAGUUAGCAAGCUGUAAAACACGUGGUACCAUCACCUGCCCGAAGAGAUGAUGAGUUUGUCAUUCAGGAAUUAAACCACGAGUGCGUGUUGAGGGUAUACUCAAUCCCAGCACGGUGCAAAGUAUCAGGAAGAAACACAGAAGACUCAAAGCAGUCCACAUACCCUGCAAAAGCUCUCAACUUUGCAGUCAGAGAAAGACAAAUGUCAUAAGAUUUCACUCGUGUGGAAUCUAAGAAACAAAACAGAUGAAUACAGAGGAAGGGAAGGAAAAAUAAGGAAGAAAUAAAUAAAUAAGAAAAAUAAGAUAAAAACA